Silurus meridionalis is the source of this 369-nucleotide long non-coding RNA. RefSeq lists it as uncharacterized. Lineage: Eukaryota; Metazoa; Chordata; Actinopteri; Siluriformes; Siluridae. The transcript is spliced from 2 exons. The record is from RefSeq and is a predicted model, not a curated record.
CAGAUGUGGGUGUUAAACGUAGAGAGCCUGCUCAGCUCCAUGGCGAGACAGCUGCAGGAUUCACUGGAGAAAUACCCCAGGCAGGAGCAUGAGGACAGAUUCCCAUCCUCACUGACCAAACACAGGACUUCUCAACACAGCGCUCUGCCUAAAACCUACAUGGCCAGAAGCUUGCAGCAAACUCGGGCCGAUCCACCCGCAACACCGCAUAGACGUUAUUCCUGAUUAAAAAAGGCUGAGAUUGUUCUGUUAAAGUGAACUGUAGUCUGUGAUUGGUAAAGAGAGAUAAACAUGGCCAUGGUGCUGCUUUAACCCUUCGUAUUGUGUUUUCGCUUUGUCUUGUAAAUAAAGACUGACGUGGAGCGAGAA